Molecule: long non-coding RNA, 1572 nt
Organism: Mandrillus leucophaeus (drill)
Lineage: Eukaryota; Metazoa; Chordata; Mammalia; Primates; Cercopithecidae
Exons: 3
Source: RefSeq, a predicted model, not a curated record
UUCUCCUGCCUCAGCCUCCUGAGUGGCUGGGAUUACAGGCACCCACCACCAGGCCCAGCUAAUUUUUGUAUUUUUAGUAGAGAUGGGGUUUCACUAUGUUGGCCAGGCUCAUCUCAGACUCCCAACCUCAGGUGAUCCGCCUGCCUUGGCCUCCCAUAGUGCUGGGAUUACAGGCAUGAGUCACCACGCCCAGCCUAUAUAUAUUUUUUGAGACAGGGUCUUGCUCUAUUGCCCAGGCUGAAGUGCAGUGGCACGAUCACAGCUCACGGACACCUUGAUCUCCUGGGCUCAAGCUAUCUCCUCCCACUCCUCUUGAGUAGCUGGAGCUGCAGGUAUCUGCCACCACACUCAGCUAAUUUUUAAUUUUUUAGACAGACAGGGGUCUUCCUGUGUUCCCCAGGCUGACCCCAAACUCCUGGGCUCAAGCAAUCCUGCUUUACCUCCCAAAGUGCUGGGAUUACAGGUGUGAGCCACCACAUCUGGCCCAAGUCGCCCAAAUUUUUUAUAGCUUGGUUUGGAAGGCAAUGUAAUAUAUUAAAAUCGUGGGUCCUGGAGUCAGAAAGAUCCAGGUUUAAAUCCAGAGUCUGUCAUUUAUUAGCUUUAUGAAUUUGAGCAAUUUCGUCUCACUUGUAAAUAUAGGGAAUAGCUCCUACCUCUCAGGUAUGUUGCAAAAAAUUAUAUAAAAGCACUUAGCAUAGUGGCCAUGACAGAGUAAGCACUUGGUAAAUCAUGCCAUUUAUCUCAUCUAUAAGGCACGAAAGUAGAAUUUUACAAGUUGUACAGAAGUAGAAGGCUUGGAGUGGACACUACAUUAAAAGGAUUUAAAAAAUGGAGCCAGGCAGAGGCAGGCAUCUAUAGUCCCAGCUAUUCAGGAGGCCUGAGGCUGGAGGAUCCCUUGAACCUAGGAGUUUGAGGUCAGCCUGGGCAACAUAGUGAGAUUGUGGCUCCAAAAAAAUAAUAGUAAAUAGGUUGCUCUGCCUAUGGAGUAGCAUUCUUCUAUUUCUUUACUUUUUAAAUAAACUUGCUUUUACUUUAUGGAAAAAAUAAACUUUUAAAUGACUAGAUGAGAAACUUGAAUAUCAAUCUGAGAAAUAAAAUCUGAUUAGGAAUGUAAUUGGGAUAACCUAAACUUUUGGUAAGAGUGACCUAAAGAAAAUAGCACUUAGAUAAGCUACUUUGUUUUCCUUUUUCACUUUACUAUUUUUUUUUUAUAUAUAUAUUUGUUCCUAUUUACGGGGUACUUGUGAUAUUCUGAGACAUGCAUAGAAUGUAUAAUGAUCAAGCCAGGAUAUUUAUGUUAUUCAUUAUCUCAAACAUUUAUCAUUUAUUUGUGUUGGGAACAUUUCAAAUCUAGCCAUUUUGAAAUUUACAUUGUUAAGUAUAGUCACCCUACUAUGCUAUCAAGCAUUAAAACUUAUUCCUUCUAUCUAACUGUAUGUUUGUAUCUACCCAUUAACCUACCUUCCUUCAUCGCCCCACCCUGUACACCCCCUACCCAGCCUCUGGUAACUAUCAUUCUACUCUCUACCUCCAUGAAAUAAAUUUUUUAGCUCACAUGAGUAAGAACAUGCA